UGACCUGUCGAUGUAU
This 16-nucleotide ribosomal RNA is filed under the name Phoma sp. As43. RNAcentral's name for it is "partial 28S ribosomal RNA". The record is from RNAcentral. Lineage: Eukaryota; Fungi; Ascomycota; Dothideomycetes; Pleosporales; Didymellaceae.